This 1807-nucleotide long non-coding RNA is filed under the name Mytilus galloprovincialis (Mediterranean mussel). Lineage: Eukaryota; Metazoa; Mollusca; Bivalvia; Mytilida; Mytilidae. The record is from RNAcentral.
AGAUAAUGAACAGACUGAAAACCAUAGAAGAUAGUCUUAAAGAUUUAAAAACAAUAAAAGAAAUGGUUUGUAAUCUAAGAUAUUUCUGUAGUUUUUUUAUACAUGAAAAGAUGACCUAUGAUUUAUUUUCAACCUUUCAAACGAAUCGUUAUCGAAAAAACACUGUCCCUAUUUUAAAAAUGACUGAAUUAUUUCUAAACUUUACCAAAAGUAUGACGUAUACUACUGUUUGAUAGAUAAAUAGGUUUAUAUAUGAUAAGAAAUUCAAGGAAAAUCAAAUUAAAAAUUGUAGAUGCAUAUGAAUGUUUAAUAUUUAUAGUGAUCAAAGGUACCAGGCUUAUAAUUUUAUACGCCAGACCCGCGUUUCGUCUACAUAAGACUCACAAGUGACACUCAGAUCAAAAUAGUUAUCAAGCCAAAUAAAUACAAAGUUGAAGAGCGUAAUAUGUAUAACAUUUGUACUAAGUAUAAAGAUUAAAUAUUUUGUUUGUUUUAGUUAACAAGCACCAAUGCUUACGGCAACCGUGUUUGAAAACAGAAUAAAGAAAAUGAAAUGUAUUGUCGAACGGUAAGAACAUUUGUUUUAACGCAAAGUGUCGUAAGAUGGUCAGAUUUAAAAUAAUUAUAUUCAUUGCUUCAAAUUAACCUCCGCUAGCCAUGGGAACAACAUCUUAACAAGUAUAUUGACGAAUUGAUAAUUCUGAAUAGGUACAUGUAUAUUCCUCCUUUAGACAUUUUUGGUUUUCUUUCAUAAACACAUUCUCGUUAGUAAUAAGAAAUAUAUCAUUUUACAAAUUAAUGGAUCUUUGCUACUUCUUCAUUUUUAUUGGAAAUUAAACUAAGGUUUAUUUAGAUGUAGUUCUGAAUUUGUUUUAUUCUAACUCUCUUAUUAUCAAAUUUUUUUAAAUAAUAGAUGAUCUUCAAUAUAUGAAUAUGAAGCAAAUUCAAUCAGCGUUAUAUAACAGAAAACCACUAAAUGUACAUUUGUCGACAUGAAUUGUUAAAUAUUGAUAUGUUCACAUGUCUAGUCAGGAGACAACCAGUCAUCAGGUCCAUGGAAGAUUGUCCGCCUGUUCUUGUUUUGAUGACCUUUUGAAAAAUCAUGGUCACUUUCAUUACUCCAAAUAUAUCAAACUUCUUCGCAUAGCAUUCAAAAUGUCUCCUCAUUUAUAUUUAUGAUCAGCUUUUGACUUGAACGUUGAAGUCUUUAGAUCAAUAAAGGAAUCAUUAUGCCGCUGUUUUAUUAUUGAUGCAUACAUUUGUGACAUUCGAAAACGAUUCUUUUGGAGAGACCUUUUUCCUACUUGUAUUAUGGAGCUGUGUUAGAAAAGCAACCAUUUGAUAUGAUUCAUUUUACUUUCAGGUCGAUGAACAAAACACUUUAAACAAUAUUACCAUGAUAUUGUAAAUAUUCAAAUAAUUAGAGAUACAGAUCACAGAUGACCCAGAAUGCUUAAAUCACUUUUUAUAAGGAAUACACAAACAUUUUGUAAUUUCAUACUUGUGAUAUGGAUUUAUUAUUGUAGUGAUUAAAUAAUGUAGCAAACCAAAGUUAAAAUAUUCAUUUAUAUCAUUAUCAAUUUUACCUGUGACGUCAUUUGUGUGCGUCGAUCAUACAUUGCGUGGAUUGGCUGUGCUGUUUUUGUGUGCCGAACACGGUUGGUUUAUGUGUUCGUUUUUAUUCUUUGUUGACAUGUUUAUCAAUUAUAUGGAAAUUUUUAUGAAUUUACUGUUUGCAAAAAAAAUAAAUUAUUCUAAAUACUAAGGAAUUUCUUAUCCCAGGUAGAUAACCUUAGCCGUAUGUGGC